UACAGAGGGUGGCGAGCGUUGUCCGGAAUCACUGGGCGUAAAGGGCGCGUAGGCGGCUUGAUAAGCGUGCGGUGAAAGUCCGGGGCUCAACCCCGGGUCGGCCGUGCGAACUGUCGAGCUGGAGCACUGUAGAGGCAGGUGGAAUUCUGGGGUGUAGCGGUGGAAUGCGUAGAGAUCCGGAAGAACACCGGUGGCGAAGGCGGCCUCUGGGCAGUGGCUGACGCUGAGGGCGCGACACGUGGGGGAGCAAACAGG
RNAcentral lists this ribosomal RNA (255 nucleotides) under uncultured bacterium. RNAcentral describes it as "partial 16S ribosomal RNA". It matches the Rfam family "Bacterial small subunit ribosomal RNA", at positions 524 to 776 of the family's 1533-position model. The record is from RNAcentral.